AUGAAAUGUGACAUGCCCGUUGGGUUUUUCUCUGAUAUCGGAUUAUUAUUAUUAUUUAAUUGAUUUGGGAAACGGGGUGUUACAAAUUG
RNAcentral lists this microRNA precursor (89 nucleotides) under Medicago truncatula (barrel medic). Its description in RNAcentral is "MIR2617 microRNA precursor family". It matches the Rfam family "MIR2617 microRNA precursor family". The record is from Rfam by way of RNAcentral. Lineage: Eukaryota; Viridiplantae; Streptophyta; Magnoliopsida; Fabales; Fabaceae.